UACGGAGGGUGCGAGCGUUGUCCGGAAUCACUGGGCGUAAAGGGCGCGUAGGCGGCCGUGUAAGUCACUUGUGAAAUCCCGGGGCUCAACUCCGGGGCUGCAGGUGAGACUGCAUGGCUAGAGCUUGGUAGAGGCGAGUGGAAUUCCCGGUGUAGCGGUGAAAUGCGCAGAUAUCAGGAGGAACACCAGCGGCGAAGGCGGCGCUCUGGGCCGGAACUGACGCUGAGGAGCGAAAGCGUGGGUAGCAAACAGG
This 253-nucleotide ribosomal RNA is filed under the name uncultured bacterium. RNAcentral describes it as "partial 16S ribosomal RNA". It matches the Rfam family "Bacterial small subunit ribosomal RNA", at positions 524 to 776 of the family's 1533-position model. The record is from RNAcentral.